RNAcentral lists this ribosomal RNA (309 nucleotides) under uncultured eukaryote. Its description in RNAcentral is "partial 18S ribosomal RNA". It matches the Rfam family "Eukaryotic small subunit ribosomal RNA", at positions 1470 to 1796 of the family's 1831-position model. The record is from RNAcentral.
CCCUUAGAUGUUCUGGGCGGCCCGCGCACUACAUUGGCACUCUCAAUAAGUUCCUAGAUCUAAAACUUUGGGGUAUUCUAUUAAGUGGUGUCGUGACUGGGAUUAACCCUUGCAAUUAUUGGUUACGAACGAGGAAUUCCUUGUAAUCGCGGUUUAUCAGCCCGCGUUGAAUGCGUCCCUGCCCUUUGUACACACCGCCCGUCGCUCCUACUGAUGAAUCGUCCGGUGAAGUUCAUGGAGUGGUGGUUGUUCCAGCUGCUGUCGAAGUGAAAUGGACCUCACGAUUUAGAGGAAGGAGAAGUCGUAACA